GUUAAUUGAAGGUCAGGUGUUUUUAGAGUUAAUCGAAGGACAGGUGUUUUAAGAGUUUAUUGAAGGACAGGUGUUUUGAGAGUUAAUUGAAGGACAGGUGUUAUGAGAGUAAAUUGAAGGACAGGUGUUUUAAGAGUUAAUUGAAGGACAGGUGUUUUGAGAGGUAAUUGAAGGACAGGUGUUUUGAGAGGUAAUUGAAGGACAGGUGUUUUGAGAG
Long non-coding RNA from Astyanax mexicanus (Mexican tetra), 217 nucleotides. RefSeq lists it as uncharacterized. The record is from RefSeq and is a predicted model, not a curated record. NCBI's taxonomy places the organism in Eukaryota, Metazoa, Chordata, Actinopteri, Characiformes, Acestrorhamphidae. The transcript is spliced from 3 exons.